GACGAACGCUGGCGGCGUGCCUAAUACAUGCAAGUUGAGCGCUGAAGGUUGGUACUUGUACCGACUGGAUGAGCAGCGAACGGGUGAGUAACGCGUGGGGAAUCUGCCUUUGAGCGGGGGACAACAUUUGGAAACGAAUGCUAAUACCGCAUAAAAACUUUAAACACAAGUUUUAAGUUUGAAAGAUGCAAUUGCAUCACUCAAAGAUGAUCCCGCGUUGUAUUAGCUAGUUGGCGAGGUAAAGGCUCACCAAGGCGAUGAUACAUAGCCGACCUGAGAGGGUGAUCGGCCACAUUGGGACUGAGACACGGCCCAAACUCCUACGGGAGGCAGCAGUAGGGAAUCUUCGGCAAUGGACGAAAGUCUGACCGAGCAACGCCGCGUGAGUGAAGAAGGUCUUCGGAUCGUAAAACUCUGUUGGUAGAGAAGAACGUUGGUGAGAGUGGAAAGCUCAUCAAGUGACGGUAACUACCCAGAAAGGGACGGCUAACUACGU
This 496-nucleotide ribosomal RNA is filed under the name uncultured bacterium. Its description in RNAcentral is "partial 16S ribosomal RNA". It matches the Rfam family "Bacterial small subunit ribosomal RNA", at positions 28 to 506 of the family's 1533-position model. The record is from RNAcentral.